Podarcis lilfordi (Lilford's wall lizard) is the source of this 73-nucleotide non-coding RNA. The record is from the annotation of a GenBank genome assembly. Lineage: Eukaryota; Metazoa; Chordata; Lepidosauria; Squamata; Lacertidae.
AGCACUGUAGCUCCAUGGUAGAGCAUUUGCUUUGCAUGCAGAAGGUCCCAGGUUCAAUCCCCAGGGAAGGUUG